CCUACGGGACGCAGCAGUGGGGAAUAUUGCACAAUGGGCGCAAGCCUGAUGCAGCCAUGCCGCGUGUAUGAAGAAGGCCUUCGGGUUGUAAAGUACUUUCAGCGAGGAGGAAGGCAUUAAGGUUAAUAACCUUAGUGAUUGACGUUACUCGCAGAAGAGGCACCGGCUAACUCCGUGCCAGCAGCCGUGGUAAUACGGAGGGUGCAAGCGUUAAUCGGAAUUACUGGGCGUAAGGCGCACGCAGGCGGUCUGUCAAGUCGGAUGUGAAAUCCCCGGGCUCAACCUGGGAACUGCAUCCGAAACUGGCAGGCUAGAGUCUUGUAGAGGGGGGUAGAAUUCCAGGUGUAGCGGUGAAAUGCGUAGAGAUCUGGAGGAAUACCGGUGGCGAAGGCGGCCCCCUGGACAAAGACUGACGCUCAGGUGCGAAAGCGUGGGGAGCAAACAGGAUUAGAUACCCGUGUAGUC
RNAcentral lists this ribosomal RNA (465 nucleotides) under uncultured bacterium. RNAcentral's name for it is "bacterial SSU rRNA". It matches the Rfam family "Bacterial small subunit ribosomal RNA", at positions 338 to 795 of the family's 1533-position model. The record is from RNAcentral.